Molecule: non-coding RNA, 270 nt
Organism: Pelobates cultripes (western spadefoot toad)
Lineage: Eukaryota; Metazoa; Chordata; Amphibia; Anura; Pelobatidae
Source: the annotation of a GenBank genome assembly
GACAUUAAUGGCUCCUUAAGUUAAUCUAGCACUGUUGAUUACAAAAAGCAGUAUUUCUGCGGAUUCCAUAGAUCAGAUGCUUCGCAAUAUCCAUUUUAAGAUUGCGGAUACUGUUCACCCCCUUUAAUGUUAAAUAAGGCACAGAAGGAAUGAUCCUCUCAUAACCCUUCUUUACCAACUUCACUGGCUUCUAAGAUGGCACUUUUGAAAGCUUCCAGCAGAGAUGUGCUUAUAAUUGGCCAAUCCUUCAAUUAUAUUUCCAGUAUUCGG